This is a small nucleolar RNA of Impatiens glandulifera, 102 nucleotides long. RefSeq annotates it as small nucleolar RNA snoR99. The record is from RefSeq and is a predicted model, not a curated record. NCBI's taxonomy places the organism in Eukaryota, Viridiplantae, Streptophyta, Magnoliopsida, Ericales, Balsaminaceae. The transcript has a single exon.
UUGCUUUAGGAAUGAAUGAUGUCCCUUACAUACAAAUAUCAUUUUCACUUUGUUAGCAAAUCUUGUUCAAUGUUUUGCUGAUCAUUAUACGAUGAAACAGUU